AUUAAAAUUUAAAAUAACUCUUCAUUUGAUCAUUUCUAUUUAAUCAUGUUACAACAACUAUUGUUUUGCAUAACCAAGUUAUGCUUCAUACUAAACACCCUUUUGAACAUAAACAACCCUAUUACAUCAACCCAAAAACUCAGAAACCAAAAAGAUCAGUUUUCAAAUUCUGGGGGCCAGCUCAGCUGCGCUGAUCUUGACUUGAGAGGUGGUGCAGCUCGCCACUUCGGUUUCAGACCAAUUAGUGCUCUGCUUCAGUAGAACCCAGAAUAUAAUUUGCCCAUCUUGCUAUCAUGCCUUAUAUUUGCUUCAUAAGGAUCUCAAAUCACUAGGAACAUAUUGAACUUCUAUCAAUAACCUCAUACAUCAAUCAAGUCUUUUUGAUUUCCAAGAUUUUAGACAUAGAUUUUUAUUAAAACAUUUUCUAAAACAUGAUAUGAGCAUAGCUUUGGAUACCCAAAUUAUGUAUAGUUUCAAGUAUGUAUUAAUUCCAUAUUUCAUUUAGAAAUCAUUACAAAUAACACAACCAAUCUUUAUAUAUCAAUUACUUUUUCAGUACUAAUACCAACUGUAAUAAUAUAGCAAAACAUAUUUCCAGUAAAUUCUAAUUUUCAUGAUUCUAACUAAUUAGAUGAAUAAAGAUAUAGAUUUAAACAAUACCUCUCAUGAUUUUAAGUUCUUGCUUAGAUACUUGAUUAUUCUUGUUUCCUUACUCCAAUUCAAUAUAUUAUCCCCAACUGUUUGAGUAUUGACAGAGCUUAUAAGAAUAGGAGAAUUAGAAGUCUUCCUCUAGAAUGAAGAAACUGGAAUAAGAAAGCUGGGGACUUGAUUUUAUAGGAAAUUGAUUUCUUACCCAGUCUAAGAUUGUGGUAGAACUCUAGCUCUUGCUCCCAUAUUAUGACCCAGCAUUAUUAACCCACCUCAUGCUCCCAUAUUAAGACUCAGAAUUAUUAACCCACCUCAUGCU
Molecule: long non-coding RNA, 967 nt
Filed under: Panax ginseng (ginseng)
Lineage: Eukaryota; Viridiplantae; Streptophyta; Magnoliopsida; Apiales; Araliaceae
Description: long non-coding RNA (PGIN_LNC012209)
Source: RNAcentral